Molecule: long non-coding RNA, 712 nt
Organism: Carassius carassius (crucian carp)
Lineage: Eukaryota; Metazoa; Chordata; Actinopteri; Cypriniformes; Cyprinidae
Exons: 3
Source: RefSeq, a predicted model, not a curated record
CGCACACAUCAACACGCUUCGAAAUCAUCGGCAGCGCUGCGUAGGAUUUGUUCGAGAAUGACUCCAAAUAAGUGCGUUUUUGUUUGUGAGGGAAAGUUAACCGUGUUCAGCUUCCCCAAGAACCCAGCGUUACAUGAACAGUGGAUGCAGUUUGUUUUUCCGUGGCAACAACGGAGUGUAUCUAGUGCGUUUGUGUUUUCUGGUUAUUUGAGUGACGAAUGUUUUAUAAACAAGGCCCAAGUCGACGCUGGAUUUGCACAUCUUUUGCUAUUAAAACAUGGAGCCGUCCCUGUGAUAAAAGACCCCAUUCAUAGACAUUAGUGGGACCUUUACUUGGACAUCACCUGUGCCGUUUUAGUGUGCCAUCUACUGAGUGCAAAAAUGAGGGCAAAUGGGAAGAUACUGCUGAAGAUUAGAGGGAGACGCUUUCCUCAAGAAGUGAGUAAGAGUUCAUCAGUACAAUGCCUUACUCCUGGGCAAUCCAGAUGGGACAGGAAUGGGAGGGCACUACUCUGCACCUAAGGUUGUGAUAAUUGAAGUGAAAGCGGUGGCCUCAGGAAUGUUGCUUGACAGCUGCACAGUUUCAAGAGGGAUGUAAAUUGCCUUUGAACAUGACAGGCGGGGCAUCAUUUGCACAAGUCAUCCGUGAUGCCAAGAGCUGCGUACCUUUUCCUCCUCAGUGGGUUAGUGGUUUUAAUUAACCCCUGGCAAC